UGGGGAAUAUUGGACAAUGGGCGAAAGCCUGAUCCAGCCAUGCCGCGUGUGUGAAGAAGGUCUUCGGAUUGUAAAGCACUUUAAGUUGGGAGGAAGGGCAGUAAGCGAAUACCUUGCUGUUUUGACGUUACCGACAGAAGAAGCACCGGCUAACUCUGUGCCAGCAGCCGCGGUAAUACAGAGGGUGCAAGCGUUAAUAGGAAUUACUGGGCGUAAAGCGCGCGUAGGUGGUUCGUUAAGUUGAAUGUGAAAGCCCCGGGCUCAACCUGGGAAAUGCAUCCAAAACUGGCGAGCUAGAGUAGGGCAGAGGGUGGUGGAAUUUCCUGUGUAGCGGUGAAAUGCGUAGAUAUAGGAAGGAACACCAGUGGCGAAGGCGACCACCUGGGCUCAUACUGACACUGAGGUGCGAAAGCGUGGGGAGCAAACAGG
Molecule: ribosomal RNA, 429 nt
Filed under: Pseudomonadota bacterium
Lineage: Bacteria; Pseudomonadati; Pseudomonadota
Description: Proteobacteria bacterium partial 16S ribosomal RNA
Rfam family: Bacterial small subunit ribosomal RNA
Source: RNAcentral